Molecule: unclassified non-coding RNA, 5423 nt
Filed under: Centruroides sculpturatus (bark scorpion)
Lineage: Eukaryota; Metazoa; Arthropoda; Arachnida; Scorpiones; Buthidae
Description: down syndrome cell adhesion molecule-like protein Dscam2, transcript variant X1
Source: RNAcentral
UCUGGUGAUUACUGGGGGAUUUACUUUGCCUUGCCAGCACCUCUACUGUCAGUAAGACCCUUCAUUUAUCACAAAAUUCUCAAGACGUCUCUCUCCUCCCUUUUCUUACUUGUCUUAUCGAAAAAGAAAGACACACAGACGACGAAAUAAAAAAAGGGGGUUUGAUACAUUCGAAAGGAGCCAGCCAGAAUCUUUCUUUUUCACGGCAACAUUCGCAAUUAUCGACGCAGAACAAGGGAGCUGGGCCGGUGUAGUAGACUCAGCAGUAAUCAAAGACUUACCACGUGGGAAAAGUUUGAAGAAAUACGCGAAACUGUAUUAAUCUUUAAUGACUGUCAUAGUCUUUCAUCAUCUAGUUCCUAUUACUUAGCUGGUGGCGGCUGAUUUCAAUAGAGAGCGCAUCAAUCCGUUACCAUGGUAACUGGCUACACUCAUUAUUAUCCAUUGAUAGUGAAAAUUAUCACGAAAAAGUAUCAAUGCAUCAAGUAAAAAAAAGAAAGGAAAACGGGAAGAAAAACUGUCAGCAUCGUCUCUGGCAAUUAGCGGAGUGUGUUUGGAGCGUCAGUCAUUCGGCGCAAUAUCCGGAAAAAGAGAAGUUUCGGGCCAAGGAGAAGAAAGAAAGAAAGAGGACGGACGAGCAUACGGAGCGGACGAACUGAGUGAAAGGGAGAGUACAGAGAAAACAUAUUGACCAACCACGCUUUUCAUCACUCUAGCUCUUCCAGGCUACGUGAGUAGAUCGGUAAAUGUGUUUGUGCCGUAGCUUUGUUUGCUAGGUCUCCGGUUCAGUCACCACUGUGACCCGAAUGUAAAGGUGCGGCUGAAGAAGCCACUUAAAGUCUCGCCUCACGAUCGCCUGGCUGCACAUUCGUCUAUCGGCUACGGUUGGAGGAUAACGUGUGAUGUUGAACGCACCACGAUUUCUGAUAGUCGCUCUACUCGCAGUGUCUAGUCAUGAAGCACACGUAGAGGGACCGAUAUUUCUCAAUGAACCACCACAUCGUUUGGACUUUUCCAAUUCAUCCGGUGGAGAACUUAGAUGUCGUGGAGAUGGAAAACCAACUCCUAUAGUGAGAUGGGUUAAACAGAACGGAGAUCCCGUUAACGAAAUAAGUAGAUUGAGGGUGUUAAAAGCAGAUGGGACAUUAAUUUUUAGACCGUUUCGUCCAGAGGAUUAUCGUGCUGAUGUUCACGAUACCAUUUAUCGCUGUCUUUUAUCAAACAUCGUAGGUACUAUUGGAAGCAGGGACGUUCACGUUCGUGCAGUAAUCUUGCAGAAUUAUGAGAUCAGAUCCUUCGACGAAUUUGUUCUUAGAGGCAACAUGGCAGUGCUCAGGUGUCCUAUCCCUAGUUUUGUCAGCGAUUAUGUUCGUGUAUCCCAUUGGGAAAGGAAUGACAGUUUCUUUAUAACUCCCACGACAGGAGACGGUCGAUACGGAAUAUUUAAUAAGGGAGAUUUAUAUAUAAAAAAAGUGGACAACAGAGAUAGUUCCUACAGUUUUAGAUGUCAUACAGAGAAUAUUCUCACAGGAGAAAAAAAGAGCAGUAUAAAAUAUUCAAAAGUCAUAGUUACAGAACCCCAUCACAGCCAGCUGCCCAGGAUUAUUUCUCGAAGCACUAAACUAACUGUACCUGUUCGGCAGUCCCAAGCCAUUUUGGUGUGUAUUGCCCAAGGGUAUCCACUUCCUACUUAUCGUUGGUAUAAGGAACAAGGGGGACUUACUCCUGCAGAAAUCAAUCAAAGGAUUAGACAGGAGGAUGGUGUAUUGCUCAUCCAAAGAGUUAUGCCAGAGGACAGUGGAAAAUAUGUUUGUGUUGUCAGCAAUAGCGUGGGAGAAGAUCGAACGGAAAUUGAACUUUUUGUUGAAGAGCCUCUGAUUGUCAGCCUUAUACCAGACCAUCAAAGAGUGGAUGUCGGAAAAACUGUAACUUUGAACUGUUCUAUCACAGGACGUCCUGUCGGCUCAGUCGUAUGGAGAAAAGACAUGAACUUCCUUCCAACUAGUCGUCGACUGAAGUUUCUUUCUCCAACACUUUUAGAAAUCAGCCAAGUGAAGCGUCAGGAUGCUGGAAUAUAUCAAUGCUUUGUGUAUGGAGAAACGAAUUCAGUUCAAGCAUCUGCUUCUGUUGUUAUUGGAGAUCUGGUACCAGAGUUUCGAUAUGUUUAUCAAGAACAGACGGUGCAUCCUCGUUCUUUUGUAUCGCUGAAAUGUGUUGCUGUAGGCAACCCUCUUCCACAGAUAACUUGGAUUCUGGACGGAAUAUGGCCCAUUUCUAGUAGAGCAGGAACGGUGGUAAAUACAUAUGCUACCACAGAAGGCGAUGUCAUUAGCUACGUAAAUCUCACAUCAGCUGAUGUGGGUGACAGUGGAGUUUAUACCUGCACUGCUACAAAUUACGCAGGACAGAAAAGCCACUCUCAGAGAUUAAAUGUGUAUGGACCACUAUUUGUGAGACCCUUAAGUAACUUUACAGUUUUAUCUGGAAAGACUUUUAUCAUCAGUUGCCCAUUCGGCGGUUAUCCGUACAGUUCUAUUAUCUGGAAAUAUGAGACUUUAACUCUCCCCAUUGGUCAACAUCAGCGGGUAUUUCCUAAUGGGACCCUUGUGAUUGCUGAUGUGGACGUAUCACGUGAUCAGGGAAGAUACAGCUGUGAGGUAUCCAAUGACCAAAGAAACUCUGCUGAAAGAACCUUUCGACUUAUCGUCAGAAGUGGUCCAAAGAUAGCACCGUUUACAUUUCAAGAUGAACUUCAUGAAGGAAUGAGAACUGCAGUAACGUGUAUUGUGGUUGCCGGUGAUGGGCCUCUCAUAAUUAAAUGGAUGAAAGAUAGCCGACUCCUUUCAGAAGAAAAGUUAAAUGCUUCUAUAAUUUACGGCGAGGGUGGUUUUGUAUCGACACUGACUAUUAAAAAACUUGCUUAUCUUCAUAAUGGAAAUUAUACAUGUGUAGCAACAAAUGAUUUAGCUUCUGAUUCGUACAGCGCUAAACUCACAGUUAAAGUUCCACCUCGAUGGCUCUUGCAACCUAAAGAUACUUCAGCAGUAGUCGGUAAAUCUGCAAUGAUCAAUUGUCAAGCUAGUGGUGUACCACAGCCACACGUUCGCUGGAAAGUAGCCACAGGUAACCAACCAGUAGAAUAUCGUACAAUCAUAAGUAGUUCUCAUAUUCACAUUUUAGUGAAUGGUUCUUUGAAUAUUAGAAGUGUUGAAGAAAACGAUGGAGGUUUAUAUGUUUGCGAAGCCAAUAAUGGAGUAGGAAGUGGGAUCAGUAGCAUUAUUAGAUUUACAGUUCACAGCAUACCGAGGUUUGAGACCAAGUUUUUGGAGAAGAAUUUUAAAAAAGGGGAAAGAGCUGAAAUCGAAUGUAAUGCUGAUGGAGAUUUGCCAGUAGUAUUCCUGUGGAGAAGAAAUGGUAUCCGAUUUGAUCCCGCUUCGGAAGCCAGAUAUUUAUACGAAACGUUCGAAGAAGAUAAAAAAGCAAUGUCUAAAAUCAUCAUAGCAUCGGUUGAAAGAGAUGAUUCGGCCAUGUUAACCUGUACAGCUAGAAACCAAUACGGUGAAGAUACUGCGAAUAUACAGCUAACAAUACAAGAUGUACCUGAUCCUCCACAAAAUAUAGAAAUUAAUGAAGUCACUAGCAGGAGCGUUAGAUUAUCAUGGAGCCAAAAAUAUACCGGAAAUUCUCCUAUUACAGAAUAUAUUAUAUCGUGGAUUCCUUCUGAAGAUAUGUGGAAACAAAGCAAGGAAAAUCAUCUAUCUGUAUCAGGAAGUGAAAAUACUGCAACAAUUCGCGGGUUAAAUUCCCAAACUACCUAUUCAGUUAGCAUUCGAGCAUUGAACGCCUUAGGGAAAAGUGCUGCAAGUAUACCUGUUCUAGCAACAACUUUAGAGGAACCUCCUAGUAAAGCCCCGGGUUCAGUCAAGGCUAUGGCACAUUCUUCACAAGUUGUAAAUAUAUCGUGGGAGAGGCCAGAAGUCGCUUCGGAUUCAAUAACGGGUUAUUAUGUCGGCUACAAACUGAAGGGAGAUGAAUUGUAUACGUAUAAAACUGUAGAAACUAUACCAAAUCAGAAGCAAGAGUUUCAGUUAUCAGGAUUGGCACGUUUUACUGAUUACAGCAUCAUAGUACAAGCAUUCAAUAGCAGAGGAGCUGGACCUGCAUCUGACGAAGUCAUCGUUAGAACUCUCGAAUAUGAUCGACCAACGGCACCAAUUAUGAAAAAAUUCUUUACAACAUCAACAUCAAUCAAACUAACUUGGGACAUAACUCUUACUCCUUCUGCUCCUUUGCUCGGUUAUGUUCUUCACUAUAGAAAGGAUGGCAAUCGAUGGAGAGAAACUCGCAUAAUUGCAGACAGAAGGGAUCAUUCCGUUCACGAUUUAGACUGCGGAACUCUUUAUUACUUUUAUCUCCUCGCUUAUAACAGCGCUGGAAAUAGCGAACCAAGUGAAAUGAUUUCAGCCAAAACAGAUGGAAAUUCUCCAAUUGCACCAGAAAAGUCGUAUUUGCUGUCCGUAAAUUCGACAACAGUUUUAUUACAUCUUAAUUCUUGGCGCAAUGGAGGUUGUCCGAUUACGUUUUUCGUGGUUCAGUACAAACCUCAGGGACAACAGGAGUGGACUUUGGUGUCUAACAACAUUAUUCCGGAUCAACAAGAAAUAACCAUUACAGAUCUGAGUCCGGGAACGUGGUAUACUUUACUCAUGACAUCGCAUAACGAAGCAGGCUCCACUGAUGCAGAAUAUGUUUUUGCAACGUUGACUUUAACAGGAGAACAACCUCCACGUCCAGCAGAGGCUAAUGAUGUUACAGCUAUGUUUUAUCGCCAUUUAACUGUAACCGUUCCGAUUGUCAGCUCUCUAAUUGUCUUAAUUGUUGUACUAAUAGUUGUUUGCGUGAUAACGCGCCGAAGGAAUUCCGAACCGCGUCCUCAUACUCCAGAAGAUUUUUCGUUAGGUGCCGAUAGUAAUGAACCAACUAAACAUGAAAAUGUUCCAUUAUCUAUAACAUAUGAUAGUACUCAAGAGCCAGUAUAUUUUCCAGAACCUUAUGCUAUGAGUAGAGUGUCAGUGUGUUCUCGAGAUCACAGUUCCAUACCGGGAAAACGAGGACAUCUGGAAACAUUUGGAAAUACAAGGAUUGGUUAUACGUACGACAUACCAUACCCACCCAAACGAGCUGAAAAAGAUAAUCCUUCAGAAUUAUCUCAGCUUUAUUCAGAACAUUUUGAAAAAGUUACGUUUGUUUGAAGAAAGGGAAACACUAACAUUUGCAGGUAUAUGGACAAGAAUCUCGAGAGAUAACGAAGCCAUUUAUGAGAUACCCGAUAGAGAACGAACUGGAAAAGGAACGAGAGAAAGGCACUGGAGAGAAGAUGGAGAUGGGGAUUCGAGCAGCGAUUCGGACCCCGAACCUUACAA